AGUGAACGCUGGCGGUAGGCCUAACACAUGCAAGUCGAACGGCAGCACAGUAAGAGCUUGCUCUUACGGGUGGCGAGUGGCGGACGGGUGAGGAAUACAUCGGAAUCUACUUUUUCGUGGGGGAUAACGUAGGGAAACUUACGCUAAUACCUCAUACGACCUACGGGUGAAAGCAGGGGAUCUUCGGACCUUGCGCGAUUGAAUGAGCCGAUGUCGGAUUAGCUAGUUGGCGGGGUAAAGGCCCACCAAGGCGACGAUCCGUAGCUGGUCUGAGAGGAUGAUCAGCCACACUGGAACUGAGACACGGUCCAGACUCCUACGGGAGGCAGAAGUGGGGAAUAUUGGACAAUGGGCGCAAGCCUGAUCCAGCCAUACCGCGUGGGUGAAGAAGGCCUGCGGGUUGUAAAGCCCUUUUGUUGGGGAAGAAAAGCAGCAGGUGAAUACCCCGCUGUUCUGACGGUACCCAAAGAAUAAGCACCGGCUAACUUCGUG
Molecule: ribosomal RNA, 492 nt
Filed under: uncultured bacterium
Lineage: Bacteria
Description: partial 16S ribosomal RNA
Rfam family: Bacterial small subunit ribosomal RNA
Source: RNAcentral